RNAcentral lists this ribosomal RNA (152 nucleotides) under uncultured bacterium. RNAcentral's name for it is "partial 16S ribosomal RNA". It matches the Rfam family "Bacterial small subunit ribosomal RNA", at positions 367 to 523 of the family's 1533-position model. The record is from RNAcentral.
GGCAUGGAGCACUCUGACCAGCCACCCCGCGUGAGGACGAAGGCGUUCUGCGUCGUAACUUCUUUUGUCUGUGAAGAGAGAUUCAGUUACUGGAUAAUUGACGGUAACAGACGAAUAAGCACCGGCUAACUCCGUGCCAGAGGCCGCGGUAA